ACUACGAACACGAUAGUUUUAUCACUAAUCAGCCCUAUUCCAACAAUUACGGAUUGGAGGUGCUAAUUGACUGUAAUUCAAUUAAACCUAAGUUGGCCAUAUUUAAAUAAAAUCAGAAUUAUCUUUAACACGAGGAAUAAAUCGAAAUCAAUAGGAACCAAUUUUAAAACCAAUUAGGUCUCACAAAUUGAUAAAUUAGUGUUUCAUUAUUCUCGCCGAAUUAAAAGUUUAGUUACUCACCAUCAAACUAAAAACAAUAAAAUAAAUAAAAUCAAACAUGAAAUUAACAAGCAGAAAAUUAACGAAAUAAAUUGCAACUAAAUGAAACUAACAAAAAAAACAAAAAACAAACUAUGCAAAUUAAAUGGAAUUGAAAUAGAAGGUAACCACAAUUGUUAAUUGAAAUAGAAGGUAACCACAAUUGAAAACAAGUGUCUGCCACUAUUAUUCCAAACAGCCGCAAUCUCCAAAGCCAAAAAAACAAAAAACAAAAGCUAUAUCAAUUCUUAAUCUAAGAGACAAAAAUCGUGUAGUGCUAAAAUAAAAAGGUAUCAAAAGUCCCC
This 563-nucleotide long non-coding RNA is filed under the name Salvia miltiorrhiza (redroot sage). RNAcentral describes it as "long non-coding RNA (SMIL_LNC001707)". Lineage: Eukaryota; Viridiplantae; Streptophyta; Magnoliopsida; Lamiales; Lamiaceae. The record is from RNAcentral.